CGCGUAGGCGGGUGCUCAAGUCCGGGGUGAAAUCCUCCAGCUCAACUGGAGAACUGCCUCGGAUACUGGGUGUCUCGAGGGUGGUAGGGGUAUGCGGAACUAUCGGUGGAGCGGUGAAAUGCGUUGAUAUCGAUAGGAACUCCGGUGGCGAAGGCGGCAUACUGGACCACCUCUGACGCUGAGGCGCGAAAGCCAGGGGAGCAAACG
Molecule: ribosomal RNA, 207 nt
Filed under: uncultured bacterium
Lineage: Bacteria
Description: partial 16S ribosomal RNA
Rfam family: Bacterial small subunit ribosomal RNA
Source: RNAcentral